AGCGAACGCUGGCGGCAGGCCUAACACAUGCAAGUCGAACGAACCUUUCGGGGUUAGUGGCGGACGGGUGAGUAACACGUGGGAACGUGCCUUUAGGUUCGGAAUAACUCAGGGAAACUUGUGCUAAUACCGAAUGUGCCCUUCGGGGGAAAGAUUUAUCGCCUUUAGAGCGGCCCGCGUCUGAUUAGCUAGUUGGUUGAGGUAAUGGCUCACCAAGGCGACGAUCAGUAGCUGGUCUGAGAGGAUGAUCAGCCACAUUGGGACUGAGACACGCCCAAACUCCUACGGGAGGCAGCAGUGGGGAAUCUUGCGCAAUGGGCGAAAGCCUGACGCAGCCAUGCCGCGUGAAUGAUGAAGGUCUUAGGAUUGUAAAAUUCUUUCACCGGGGACGAUAAUGACGGUACCCGGAGAAGAAGCCCCGGCUAACUUCGUG
RNAcentral lists this ribosomal RNA (433 nucleotides) under uncultured bacterium. Its description in RNAcentral is "partial 16S ribosomal RNA". It matches the Rfam family "Bacterial small subunit ribosomal RNA", at positions 29 to 507 of the family's 1533-position model. The record is from RNAcentral.